AUGGGUAUGAAUAUCCAAAAUAUUAUUCGAACUGGAAUCCAAACGGGGCGGAUUUAUUCGAGCUAAACGGGUAUGGAUUCGGUUAUGGGUAUACCAAAUAAAAAUCCGACGGAUAUGAAUACAAGUAUGGAUUUUUUAUUUACCCAAUCCGAACCCGAACCCAACCCGAGCCCGAACUCGAAUAAAUUAUAUAUAUACAUAAUUUAUUUUUAUUUAUUUAUAUAAUAUAUAAAAUAUUUAAUUAUUUUUAUUUCUUAGAUCUUCAUUUAACGGUAUGAAUUUUUAAAACCCGCCAAGUUCGGGUCCGAAUACAGGUUUUAAUUUGGUUUUCGGCUUCGGAUUCGAGUUAUUAAAAAUCUAACCCGAACCCGACCUAUUGACAUCCCUAUCAGAAUUACAAGUUUAAAACUUAAUUACUUCAUAUUUUUCUAACGAAAACAAACAGACCAGAUAACUUGUUAUAUUUUUUUCAGAAAAAGAGAUAAAAACGCAUAGGACUUGUUAAACUACUGACCAUUUUGCUUUACCUAUCCAAUCUUCGAAAAUUUUAAUUAUGUUACUCAAUAUUUUAAUUUGUUUGAUUUGAGUCGGUCGAUAACACUUUCAUUUUAAAAUUUAAAUACAUUGUUUACUUUUACAGGUUUCGUUAGUAUAUAUACAU
Molecule: long non-coding RNA, 661 nt
Filed under: Ananas comosus (pineapple)
Lineage: Eukaryota; Viridiplantae; Streptophyta; Magnoliopsida; Poales; Bromeliaceae
Description: long non-coding RNA (ACOM_LNC030143)
Source: RNAcentral